AGCGAACGCUGGCGGCAGGCUUAACACAUGCAAGUCGAGCGGGCAUCCUUGUGGUGUCAGCGGCAGACGGGUGAGUAACGCGUGGGAACGUGCCCUUCGGUUCGGAAUAACUCAUGGAAACUUGAGCUAAUACCGGAUACGCCCUCCUGGGGAAAGGCUUGCUGCCGAAGGAUCGGGCCGCGUCUGAUUCGCUGGUUGGUGAGGUUACGGCUCACCAAGGCGACGAUCAGUAGCUGGUCUGAGAGGAGGAUCAGCCACACUGGGAAUGAGACACGGCCCAGACUCCUACGGGGGGGAGGAGUGGGGAAUAUUGGACAAGGGGGGCAACCCUGGUCCAGCCAUGCCGCGUGAGUGAUGACGGCCUUAGGGUUGUAAAGCUCUUUUCGCCGGGACGAUAAUGACGGUACCGGAGGAAGAAGCCCCGGCUAACUUCGUG
RNAcentral lists this ribosomal RNA (436 nucleotides) under uncultured bacterium. Its description in RNAcentral is "partial 16S ribosomal RNA". It matches the Rfam family "Bacterial small subunit ribosomal RNA", at positions 28 to 507 of the family's 1533-position model. The record is from RNAcentral.